Stegastes partitus (bicolor damselfish) is the source of this 320-nucleotide long non-coding RNA. RefSeq lists it as uncharacterized. The record is from RefSeq and is a predicted model, not a curated record. Lineage: Eukaryota; Metazoa; Chordata; Actinopteri; Pomacentridae. The transcript has 3 exons.
UUCACUUUCUGUUUCCUUGAAGUCGUUGUUCUUGGCUGCAAUACGGUUGAUCAUAUUCUAAAUAUCUGAGUUUCGGCGUGAAGAACCGGCAGAUAGUUGCAGCGACAGGUUGCCUGCUGCGCUGCUUCACGUUCAUCUCAUUGACGUUGUGAUUUAUUCCGUUUUCAGGUGGAAUCAUGUCAGGUUCAUCUGAGAAAAUCAUUGAUCCUGAAGCAGCCUCCACGCUGGAGGAGCAACGUGUUUGCACUGACUCAGAAAUUCCAAAACCUAUCAGUGUGAUCCUAGAAAAUCUGAAAGGCUUCGUCCCACAUGAGUCUUUG